GGUCCCAUAGUCCAGUGGUUAAGACGCGUCGUUUACACCGACUAGAUCCAGGUUCGAUUCCUGGUGGGACCA
RNAcentral lists this transfer RNA (72 nucleotides) under Candidatus Pacearchaeota archaeon. Its description in RNAcentral is "tRNA-Val". It matches the Rfam family "tRNA". Rfam says of the family: Transfer RNA (tRNA) molecules are approximately 80 nucleotides in length. Their secondary structure includes four short double-helical elements and three loops (D, anti-codon, and T loops). The record is from RNAcentral. Lineage: Archaea; Nanobdellati.